GCCUUGAAGCUGGGUGGAAGCUCAGGUUGGUUUCUCAUCAUCGGUUGGGGGCUGCAUGACACACACGGUUGCCAUCACGAUGUGCGUGUGGUGAUGCUGCCACGGGCAUCUGCCCCGUAAACAGCAGCUCCGAUCAAUUCUCCUUUGUGAGGUGACCACCAAAGGACUGCAGAGCUGGCCGGGGCAUUCGUGCGUGUUCAUGACCGAGAACUUUUCACACAGAGAGGACUUCUGUCCUGACGAAGGAGGGCAGAGCUGGCCGGGGCAUAAAUGCCUGUUCAUGACCAAGAACUUUUCACACAGAGAGAGAAGACUUCUGUCCUGACGAAGGAGCGCAGAGCUGUCCAGGCAUUCGUGCAUGUUCAUGACGGAGAACUUUUCACAGAGAGAGGACUUCUGUCCUGAUGAAGGAGCGCAGAGCUGGCCGGGCAUUCAUGUGUGUUCAUGACCGAGAACUUUUCACAGCUAGGACUUCUGUCCUGACGUCUUUAUUGUAUAAUAGUUGCGUUUAAGGCUGUAGACUUCAAGUUUAUAUUUCUCUUUAUGUAACAGUCUGUUCAUUGUUGAUUCUAUUUUAUUGCGUUGUAGCUACAAAGGGCAGGCUCUGCUGCGUUAGUUCUGUGAAGUUCCCCGUAUUGCCUGGUAUGUGGCCUAUUUAAAAACUAUUCCAUGUGUAUUUAAUAAGAAUUAGCAAUUAAGAAUUGUUCAUUGUAACAAUUAUAACAAUAUAAUUGUUUACCUUUUGAGGCAGUGUCUUUGUACACUUUACAGUGUUGGUUCCAAAUCUUCGACAUGGGUGUGAACUUUUAACACCCUCGCCCUCUGUUUCUAAUGGAGAAGUCCUGGCGUCUCCCGUUCCGACUGUGUAUUUGACCCCUUUGUUCUUCAGUCUGUUUUGGCUUCCUGCAUUUUGAUGCAGUAUGCCUUCAAAUUCAUGAACAUUCAUCUUCUUGUGAUUGUGCUUUUAAUUGUUUUCAUGUUGGCGCCCUUUUCAUCUAUACUGAUGAAAAGUAAAUCAUGCUUUUGUCUAACAGGCUUGUUUAUGUAUUUUGAAAAUUUAUUAUCCCUGCCCACUCCUUUCCACUUCCCUCUCCAUGCAUCACUAUUCUCCCGUGCUUAAUGUGCAUCUUUUUGUUCAUAUGAACCCAUGCAUGUGGGCACAAGUGUGUUUUGUGUGCAUUCUUGUUCGUAUGAACCCAUGCGUGUGGGCACAAGUGUGUUUUGUGUGCAUUCUUGUUCGUAUGAACCCAUGCAUGUGGGCACAAGUGUGUUUUGUGUGCAUUCUUGUUCGUAUGAACCCAUGCAUGUGGGCACAAGUGUGUUUUGUGUGCAUUCUUGUUCAUAUGAACCCAUGCGUGUGGGCACAAGUGUGUUUUGUGUGCAUUCUUGUUCAUAUGAACCCAUGCAUGUGGGCACAAGUGUGUUUUGUGUGCAUUUAGCACUCUUUAAAUAUGCACUAAAACAGAACCUUUCCCCCACCAUCAAAGUCUGCACCAUUCGUGUUUGUACAGCCAGCAGGUAGUUUGCCUUGCUGACAUCAUUUAUCCCUCUGACCUCGGUCUCCUAUAGACUUGCUAAAAUUCUCCCUUUCAAACUCCCUUUGAUGGAGACCAGUGAGUGGUAGACACUCUCAGUUGUUGUUGUUGUUUAAUUUUAAUUUUUAUUUUUUCGAGAUGGAGUCUUGCUCUGUUGCCCAGGCUGGAGUGCAGUGGCAUGAUCUCAGCUCAUUGCAACCUCUGCCUCCCAGGUUCAAGCAAUUCUGCUGCCUUUGCCUCCUGAGUAGCUGGGAUUACAGGUGCAUGCCACCAUGCCUGGCUAAUUUUUGUAUUCUUAGUCAAGAUGGGGUUUCACCAUGUUGGUCAGGCUGGUCUCGAACUUCUGACCUCACCUUGGCUUCCCAAAGUGCUGGUAUUACAGGUGUGAGCCACCACGCUGGGCCUCAGUUGUUUUUUAAUGUCCGAGAUGUCUUUAUUUUGCCUUCAAUAUUUUAUGAAAGUUGCGCUGAGAAUAACAUUCAAAGGUGAAUGUGAUUUCCCCUGGGUCUGUUAAAGACGUCACUCCACUGUCUUCCAGAAGGCAGCGUUGCUAUUGAGAAGUCUGCCGUCAGUCCACAUCUGCUUUUAUGGUAUGUAGUGUGGCUCUUCUUUCUGGUCGUUUUGACUUUUUUUCUCCUUUCCUGGAUGAUCUGCACUUCACUGUAAUAUUCUAGGAGUGGAUUUCUCAAUUUUUAUCAUUCCUUGGUAAUUUAGAUCUGGGAUCUCAUGUCUUUUCAAUUCUGAAGAAUUCUG
Molecule: long non-coding RNA, 2288 nt
Filed under: Pan troglodytes (chimpanzee)
Lineage: Eukaryota; Metazoa; Chordata; Mammalia; Primates; Hominidae
Description: long non-coding RNA NONPTRT017648
Source: RNAcentral